RNAcentral lists this ribosomal RNA (920 nucleotides) under Alcanivorax borkumensis. RNAcentral describes it as "bacterial SSU rRNA". It matches the Rfam family "Bacterial small subunit ribosomal RNA", at positions 90 to 1002 of the family's 1533-position model. The record is from RNAcentral. Lineage: Bacteria; Pseudomonadati; Pseudomonadota; Gammaproteobacteria; Oceanospirillales; Alcanivoracaceae.
GUCGAGCGGCGGACGGGUGAGUAACACGUGAGAAUCUGCCCAUUAGUGGGGGAUAACCUGGGGAAACCCAGGCUAAUACCGCAUAAUCCCUACGGGGGAAAGCAGGGGACCUUCGGGCCUUGUGCUGAUGGAUGAGCUCGCGUCGGAUUAGCUUGUUGGUGAGGUAAUGGCUCACCAAGGCGACGAUCCGUAGCUGGUCUUAGAGGAUGAUCAGCCACACCGGGACUGAGACACGGCCCGGACUCCUACGGGAGGCAGCAGUGGGGAAUCUUGGACAAUGGGGGCAACCCUGAUCCAGCCAUGCCGCGUGUGUGAAGAAGGCCUUCGGGUUGUAAAGCACUUUCAGUAGGGAGGAAGGCUUAUCCUUAAUACGGAUGAGUACUUGACGUUACCUACAGAAGAAGCACCGGCUAAUUUCGUGCCAGCAGCCGCGGUAAUACGAAAGGUGCGAGCGUUAAUCGGAAUUACUGGGCGUAAAGCGCGCGUAGGCGGUUUGCUAAGUCAGAUGUGAAAGCCCCGGGCUCAACCUGGGAACUGCAUUUGAAACUGGCAGGCUAGAAUGCAGUAGAGGGAGGUGGAAUUUCCGGUGUAGCGGUGAAAUGCGUAGAGAUCGGAAGGAACACCAGUGGCGAAGGCGGCCUCCUGGACUGACAUUGACGCUGAGGUGCGAAAGCGUGGGGAGCAAACAGGAUUAGAUACCCUGGUAGUCCACGCCGUAAACGAUGUCUACUAGUCGUUGGGAAUCUUAGUAUUCUUGGUGACGAAGUUAACGCGAUAAGUAGACCGCCUGGGGGAGUACGGCCGCAAGGUUAAAACUCAAAUGAAUUGACGGGGGCCCGCACAAGCGGUGGAACCAUGGUGGUUUAAUUCGAUGCAACGCGAAGAACCUUACCAGGCCUUGACAUCCUUGGAACUUUCUA